This 253-nucleotide ribosomal RNA is filed under the name uncultured bacterium. RNAcentral's name for it is "partial 16S ribosomal RNA". It matches the Rfam family "Bacterial small subunit ribosomal RNA", at positions 524 to 776 of the family's 1533-position model. The record is from RNAcentral.
UACGUAGGUGGCAAGCGUUGUCCGGAUUUAUUGGGUUUAAAGGGUGCGUAGGUGGUCUAUUAAGUCAGUGGUGAAAUAUCCCGGCUUAACUGGGAGGGUGGCAUUGAUACUGAUGGACUUGAGUGGAGUUGAGGUAGGCGGAAUUGACGGUGUAGCGGUGAAAUGCUUAGAGAUUACAUGGAAUACCAAUUGCGAAGGCAGGUUACUACGAGUACAUUGACGCUGAUGGACGAAAGCGUGGGGAGCGAACAGG